GAUGAACGCUGACAGAAUGCUUAACACAUGCAAGUCGAUGGGGAAGUGGUGCUUGCACCAUGGCAACCAUGGCGGACGGGUGAGUAACGCGUAAGGGACUUACCUGCAGGACUGGGAUAACAGGGGGAAACUCCUGACAAGACCGGAUAAUGUCAUGGAGCUGCAUGGCUUUAUGAUGAAAGGAGACGCCUGCGGAGAGCCUUGCGUCCUAUUAGCUAGUUGGUGAGGUAAUGGCUCACCAAGGCGAAGAUAGGUAGCCGGCCUGAGAGGGUGGACGGCCACAAGGGGACUGAGAGACGGCCCUUACUCCUACGGGAGGCAGCAGUGGGGAAUAUUGGACAAUGGGGGCAACCCUGAUCCAGCAAUUCUGUGUGCACGAAGAAGGUUUUCGGAUUGUAAAGUGCUUUCAGCAGGGAAGAAGUAAGUGACGGUACCUGCAGAAGAAGCGACGGCUAAAUACGUG
Molecule: ribosomal RNA, 463 nt
Filed under: uncultured bacterium
Lineage: Bacteria
Description: partial 16S ribosomal RNA
Rfam family: Bacterial small subunit ribosomal RNA
Source: RNAcentral